UAUGGUCUUUAAAAUUAAAAAUUUUGGCGGUAUUUUAGUCUAUUCAGAGGAACCUGUUCUGUAAUUGAUAAUCCACGAUUAAAAUUACUUAAAUUAAUUAAUUUGUAUAUCAUUGUUAAAAAUAUUUUAAAAGAAUUAAAUGUUUGGGAUUUUAUUUUAAAAAAUAAAUCAAAUCAAGGUGCAGUUUAUAUUUAAGAAGAAAUGGGUUACAUUAAAUUUAAAUUUUUGGAAUUAUAAUUGAAAAUUAUAUUUAAAAUGGAUUUGAAAGUAAUAUGAUAUUUAUAUUUUGUGUGAUUUAAGCUCUAAAAUAUGC
RNAcentral lists this ribosomal RNA (313 nucleotides) under Placonotus zimmermanni. RNAcentral's name for it is "partial 12S ribosomal RNA". The record is from RNAcentral. Lineage: Eukaryota; Metazoa; Arthropoda; Insecta; Coleoptera; Laemophloeidae.